Molecule: ribosomal RNA, 315 nt
Filed under: uncultured eukaryote
Lineage: Eukaryota
Description: partial 18S ribosomal RNA
Rfam family: Eukaryotic small subunit ribosomal RNA
Source: RNAcentral
CCCUUAGAUGUUCUGGGCUGUACGCGCGCUACACUGACGCACGCAACAGGUGCCUGCUCCGAGAGGACUGGGUAAUCAUUUGAGUGUGCGUCGUGAUGGGGAUAGAAUAUUGUAAUUAUUACUCUUCAACGAGGAAUUCCUAGUAAGCGCCAGUCAGCAGCUUGCGCUGAUUACGUCCCUGCCCUUUGUACACACCGCCCGUCGCUCCUACCGAUGGGUGAUCCGGUGAAUGAUUCGGACUUCAGCGGCUCCCCUGGGGUGCGCCGGAGAAAGUUUUGUGAACCUUAUCACUUGGAGGAAGGAGAAGUCGUAACA